CUCUUAUCGACGGGGACUGCUCUAAGGUCUGCCCUGCGCAGGACAGCAGACAGCGUGGACUUCUACCACCUUUCCCCGAGCCUCUGAAUAAAGUGUUUAAAUAAC
Mus musculus (house mouse) is the source of this 105-nucleotide long non-coding RNA. RefSeq annotates it as predicted gene, 36220. The record is from RefSeq and is marked validated. NCBI's taxonomy places the organism in Eukaryota, Metazoa, Chordata, Mammalia, Rodentia, Muridae. The transcript is spliced from 2 exons.